UACGGAGGGGGCGAGCGUUAUUCGGAAUUAUUGGGCGUAAAGGGCGCGUAGGCGGCUUGUUAAGUCAAAGGUGAAAUCCCUCGGCUCAACUGAGGAAUUGCCUUUGAAACUAGCGAGCUUGAGGCCGGGAGGGGGUAGCGGAAUUCCCAGUGUAGCGGUGAAAUGCGUAGAUACUGGGAGGAACACCAGUGGCGAAGGCGGCUACCUGGACCGGUACUGACGCUGAGGCGCGAAAGCGUGGGUAGCAAACAGG
RNAcentral lists this ribosomal RNA (253 nucleotides) under uncultured bacterium. RNAcentral's name for it is "partial 16S ribosomal RNA". It matches the Rfam family "Bacterial small subunit ribosomal RNA", at positions 524 to 776 of the family's 1533-position model. The record is from RNAcentral.